AGAUUGAACGCUGGCGGCAUGCCUUACACAUGCAAGUCGAACGGCAGCACGGGGGGCAACCCUGGUGGCGAGUGGCGAACGGGUGAGUAAUACAUCGGAACGUAUCCUGUAGCGGGGGAUAACCUCUCGAAAGAGAGGCUAAUACCGCAUACGACCUACGGGUGAAAGAGGGGGAUCGCAAGACCUCUCACUAUUGGAGCGGCCGAUGUCGGAUUAGCUAGUUGGUAGGGUAAAAGCCUACCAAGGCUACGAUCCGUAGCUGGUCUGAGAGGACGACCAGCCACACUGGAACUGAGACACGGUCCAGACUCCUACGGGAGGCAGCAGUGGGGAAUUUGGACAAUGGGCGCAAGCCUGAUCCGAGCCAUGCCGCGUGAGUGAAGAAGGCCUUCGGGUUGUAAAGCUCUUUCGGUCGGAAGGAAAGGUCGCGUCUAACGACCGCGGACUCACGUGACGGUACCGGACAGUAAGAAGACACCGGCUAACGUACGUGCCAGCAGCCGCGUAACUC
RNAcentral lists this ribosomal RNA (511 nucleotides) under uncultured soil bacterium. RNAcentral describes it as "bacterial SSU rRNA". It matches the Rfam family "Bacterial small subunit ribosomal RNA", at positions 26 to 526 of the family's 1533-position model. The record is from RNAcentral.